AGUUCAGUGUUAGAAGCGUCCCUGCUGAAGGUGAAACAAGAUAUACAACAACUAAACAAGAAAGUUGCUGAACAGAAGUUCUACAUUGCUAAACUAGAAAGUUCGCUGCAUCUUCAAAGUUUGAGGACAUCGCAGUACUCCUCUCGAAUGUCUCCUGCUGGUGUAAACCCCAUGUCAACACCUUUAGGUAAUCAGAUGCCUUUUUCCUCACUGAAACUCUCACGGCCAUCAUCUUCUGA
Long non-coding RNA from Polyodon spathula (Mississippi paddlefish), 239 nucleotides. RefSeq lists it as uncharacterized. The record is from RefSeq and is a predicted model, not a curated record. The transcript has 4 exons. NCBI's taxonomy places the organism in Eukaryota, Metazoa, Chordata, Actinopteri, Acipenseriformes, Polyodontidae.